This is a small nucleolar RNA of Otolemur garnettii (small-eared galago), 104 nucleotides long. Lineage: Eukaryota; Metazoa; Chordata; Mammalia; Primates; Galagidae. The record is from Ensembl.
AUCCUUUCAUAGUUCAAAAGCAUGAUGAUUGGGUUUUCAUGAGCAUGAAUGAGAUGUGCCUCCCACAAAUUUUGUUACAGCAUCAGCACAUUACCCACCUGACA